GCUCUGACUUCAUUGCACUACUGUACUUCCCAGCUAGCAGUGCAAUAGUAUUGUCAAAGCAC
This 62-nucleotide microRNA precursor is filed under the name Python bivittatus (Burmese python). RNAcentral describes it as "Pbv-Mir-130-P2b_pre stem-loop". It matches the Rfam family "mir-301 microRNA precursor family", at positions 12 to 71 of the family's 84-position model. The record is from RNAcentral. Lineage: Eukaryota; Metazoa; Chordata; Lepidosauria; Squamata; Pythonidae.